This is a long non-coding RNA of Zootermopsis nevadensis, 1178 nucleotides long. RefSeq lists it as uncharacterized. The record is from RefSeq and is a predicted model, not a curated record. Lineage: Eukaryota; Metazoa; Arthropoda; Insecta; Blattodea; Termopsidae.
UUCGUAAAACACAUUUUUGCCGAAUGACACUGACCCUAAAAUAUAGACGUAUUUACGUCAAAAACACACCUUUUGUGUCAAAAGAGAAAGUUGUAUUCCCGCAGACGCUGAAAGGCAAAUGCUAGCAGCGACAUUAUCAUAGAUAACUUCCCUGGUUACUGCACCUGAUACGAGAAACACUAGAGAAUGUGAGAAAAAUGAAAAGGCACACAAGGGGAAGGUGGUAAAAGAAAAAAUCGUGGAAGAUGGCGUAGGAGAUGAGGCCGUUUUAUGGGAAGCAGAAGAGUUUGGGAUGUGGUGACUGUGACAUUCGUUUUCACUGCUCCUCUCUUAAAAUUGGUGAAGCUGAGUUAGCUUUUUACAUGGCUUCGGGAAAAUCAUCUUACAAGUGCUCAAAUUGUACCAGUACAGGGAAAUCUACAAGGACAGACGACACAACGGUCCGUAUCGCUGUCUGACUCAACGAAGAUCAUUUCUCCUUAGCCUGUACUACCUUGCCGAGAUAUUAAUAGUACUGAUACACUCAGUGUUCAAGACCACCAUUGAUAUGUUACAGAUUCUUGUAGACAUAGUGGGUAAACUCUCUGAAGAGGUUACUCUACUUAAAUGUGAAAAUUUAGAUAUGAGAAGGCAGAUAAGGGACCUAAAGGUGCCAUCAGAUAGACCUCCUGGGCCCUCUACAUCUGUUAGGUCAUUGCCCCAGCAGCUAAGUCCUACAGUGAAGUGGCUGCCGCCCGUUUGUCUGUUCAACAUUUUGUGUCUGCUAGUGUUAAUGACAUCAGCGCCUUUCCUGUCAAGUCUACGGCCGGGAAGAAUGCUGAUGUUGCUGGUCCUACUACUUCCGGCGAUGGAUUUGUGACAGUCGUCGGCAAAAAGAAGAAGGCAUUGUCCGGGAAAGAAGCCCCCACCAAUGUUACUCAGCCACCGCGUGGAAAUAGGGUCCCUUUGAUUGAGGUUAGAAGUGUUUCCACCCUCCCCAUAAUUGCCAAAAGACCCCGAACUAAAUCACUUUUUGUUUCUCGUUUUUCUGCGGACGUCUCCGAAAAAGAUGUUGAAAAAUCUCUUCUGGAGCAACUUAAUUUAACGUUACUGAUUUGUACCAGGCUUAAGACCAAAUUUAAGUCUUAUGCCUCUUUUUGUGUUUCUGUAAAUGAGGAAGACUUUUCUUAAUUGCUUAA